This 747-nucleotide long non-coding RNA is filed under the name Homo sapiens (human). RNAcentral's name for it is "HSALNT0287880". Lineage: Eukaryota; Metazoa; Chordata; Mammalia; Primates; Hominidae. The record is from RNAcentral.
CCUGUCACAGUUUAACUGCGUUUGUUCUGCUUCUGUAAGCUUGCUUUCCCCACCCCACAAGUUUUGCACCACAGGCCAACACCCUUUGGUCACAUGAAUAAAAGUCAAGCCCUUUCUUUGCUCAUUGCUCAGCCUCUGGGUAUUAAUCUGCUGAGCUGGUGGCCACCUAAAUACAAUCGUCCUGUUCCCCUCAUUGGUCUCUCCGGUCUCCUGAUUCCAGCCACAUUUUGGUGAGCCAGCCAGGAGUGAAGACGACAGGUUUGCUGUCUCCUUUGCCUGUGGGUCUGGGGCCCCAGCCUGGGGGAGACCCGUGACUCCAGGCAUGCUAUCAGGACAACUUCAACCCGAGGGGAGAUCAGCUCUCCCGCAACCUGGUGCCGCUCUCUGACAGCACAACAGAACCUAAGGGGCUACAGGAUGAUUCAAGGAACAGUGUGCUACAGGACCUCGGUAUUCCUGCUGAGAGUCAUUUCCUGUGCUGGAUUUACCAUCACAGGGACCAGAUUUAUAGAAAAAUGAACAUGUAUUGUUGCUAAAUGGAGUUGGUCAUGGAGUGGAAACUAACAAUAUGUUCACCUAAAUGUGCUACAACCACUCAAGGUCUGCAAACAGAUUCCUAUUUAGAUGUUGUUGAGAGCUGAAUUUCUGGAACAAGAGAUAUAGAUUAAGACUGUUGUUACAUGUUGCCUACAUGACUUUCAAAAGCUUGAUUCCCAGUGGCGCUCUCAACAGCAGUCAUAAACAAUG